RNAcentral lists this ribosomal RNA (253 nucleotides) under uncultured bacterium. RNAcentral describes it as "partial 16S ribosomal RNA". It matches the Rfam family "Bacterial small subunit ribosomal RNA", at positions 524 to 776 of the family's 1533-position model. The record is from RNAcentral.
GUCGUAGGGGGCCAGCGUUGCUCGGAAUUACUGGGCGUAAAGGGUUCGUAGGCGGUGUGGCAAGUCGGGAGUGAAAUCUCCAGGCUCAACUUGGAGGCUGCUUCCGAAACUGCCGCGCUAGAGUGCGAGAGAGGCCAGUGGAAUUGCAGGUGUAGCGGUGAAAUGCGUAGAUAUCUGCAGGAACACCCGUGGCGAAGGCGGCUGGCUGGAUCGCAACUGACGCUGAGGAACGAAAGCUAGGGGAGCAAGCCGG